GAGUUUGCGUAGAAGACAACAAAGAGAGAAUCACUUCCUGCUUAUUCUGCUUAUUCUGCAUGAGUCUGUAGCUCGAUCAAACUGUGUAAAACCUCUAAACCAACCUCUGUUUCAUUUCUCUUUAGUUCUGAUCUCACUGCUGAGCUACACCACAAACCAAGCUCUUCUGACUGUGAGUCCCAGCAGCUCUCAGAUGUUUGACGGAGACUAUGUGUCUCUGAGCUGUGAGGAGGACGACAGCUCUGCUGGAUGGACUCUGAGGAGAAACACAAGCAGAGAAAUCAGAGCUGAGUGUGAGGAGUGGGGAGCAGCAGCUGAUUCUUCCUGUAACAUUAGCAGUGUCCUCCCGUGGGACAGUGGAGUUUACUGGUGUGAGUCCAGAGAGGGUCCCAUCAGUAACAUGGUUAACCUGACAGUCACUGGUGGAUCAGUGAUCCUGCAGAGUCCUGUCCUCCCUGUGAUGGAGGGAGAUGACGUCACUCUGCUCUGCGAAGAAAAGAAUUCCUUCAGCCUCCCGGCUGCUUUCUAUAAAGAUGGCUCCCUUAUCGGCAACGAGGUCACAGGUCACAUGACCAUCCAGCAUGUUUCCAGGUCUGAUGAAGGCCUCUACAAGUGUGACAUCAGCGGUCAUGGAGAGUCUCCAUCCAGCUGGAUCACUGUCACAGAUAGGCCUGCAAACACAAUCCUACACCCAUCCUCAGCACCACCUCCUGACCCCACCUCCCUCAACCUUGUGUUCAGCGUUGUCUCUCACCUGGUGGUAAUUUGUCCAUACUUCAUCUCCACUCUGCUCAUGGUGUCUUUAUAUCGACACAGAGCCAAAGCAUCCCUGCCGACCCAAGCUGAGCAGAGACAGACUGAGGACUUUGAUAACAUUGUGGAGGUGACCACUGAGCAUCACUUCUGAGUUGCACAAAUUAUGGGCCAAUUGUCAAAGGAGCUUGGAAAGAAAAACGUCUGGACUUCUUCUACGAUGACCUGGAUGACUGAGAACCUUCACAGACCCCCACCCCCCCCACCCCCCUGACACUUACUAAUUCUCAUCCUCCCUCUUGAUCAUAGAGGCUCAGGGUGUUGGAAAUUAUGCCAUGGUCAGGGUCGGAAUCCUCAUCAACGCGUCCAGUAAGAGUCCCAGACUAGACCCUCCUUUCCCACAUUUACCUAAGACUGAUAUACAAAACACAAUAUACAAACUAACUGAGAAAAGACAAUCAUGUACAGGGUUGUUUGUACACAUGAUAUUAAUCAACAAUGUAUUUCAUUCUAACUGUUUUUUUAUUUCUAAUUGUGGUUGCUUUACUGUACAGAUUUCCCUUAAAAAUGUUCAACAUUAAAGACUUUAUAAAUCUUGUUUAAUAAAUGUGAUAUUUUUCCACAUUGGUCGAUGUCCUUAUUCUAAAAACUUAUUACAAUAUUUCAAUAAGAUUUGUUAAAGUUGCCUUUUGGUUUAUAGUUAAAGGCAAUAGCCAAAACACAUCAAGGGUAAAAUUCAAACAGUUCCACUUAGAAGAAAUUUCUUGAAGCACAAGUCAAGAAAAAAAAUAAAAUGAGGAGAAGCUCCCAUUUCCCCCUUUUCUGUUUCACAUCUUGACUGAACAAUUUUACAGAUAAUACAUCUCAACACAUCUUGAUAAUUUGUUUUAGAGUUUUACAGGCUCACUUUCUUCCCCUCUUU
Long non-coding RNA from Haplochromis burtoni (Burton's mouthbrooder), 1675 nucleotides. RefSeq annotates it as Fc receptor-like protein 5. The transcript is spliced from 6 exons. The record is from RefSeq and is a predicted model, not a curated record. NCBI's taxonomy places the organism in Eukaryota, Metazoa, Chordata, Actinopteri, Cichliformes, Cichlidae.